UGUUUUUUUUGAUUGGUGUGUGUUUGUUUGAUUCCACCUUUUUUUUAAAUAAAAUGUUAGAAAGGAUAGAGAGAUGAUCAUUGAUUCAUUUGGGGUUUUAGAGAUCUGUUCAGAUAUAGUUUUGCUUGUUGUUCUGUAACUUGACAUUUUCCAUUUUGUGGUUCAAAUAAACAAGUUUUUUUAUGCUUCUUCUUCUUUUCCAAUCUGUGGAUUUAAUGGUCGUUAGGGGAGAGCUCCUCUCACAUGUUUAGGCUCUCACAUGACACAAAAGUUAGUUCUUUUUCCCUGGAUUAUGUGGAGGAAAUUGCUAUUUCACUAUAUGGAUUAUGGUCAUUUAAGCAAAAUGUUUGAAGAGUGAGAAUCAAUCACGUCCCAGGGACCGUUGUAAAGCUUUUGAUUGUACGUUUGCAGAUGGUUUUUAAUUUUCAUGGGUGUGACUGUGAGGUAAAUGAAGACCUCUGCAGCUUGUCAUUCUUAUCAGCAUAUACCCUUGGAGUAUGAGCUUUAUUUCAUGAAGACCCUGGCUUCUCUGUCCGUUGGGCUGAGUUGGGUUACCAUCUGACUUGGAGGGUCAGGUAGUUUGUCUAUUGUCGCUUUGGGAGUUCUUGGAUGUGAAGCUGUUGUGAAACAUGCUGUUGACACCGGCACAACACCAGUUUCGAUGGAUGAAAUGUAUGCCUAAUGACAGAAACAAAGACACUCAAUCGCCCUGGUGUCCCCUUGAUUCUUCAAGUUGAAGUGGAACCACCCUAUCUCCACCGUAGCUCGUUUGUGGUACACCACAGUCUUGUUCUUGUUGAUUGUAUUGACCUGUGAAUUGGUAGUCCAUACUUGAGUUGUGAUCCGCAAGGGAAUAACCAAGACACCACCUCCUUGGCAUCCUCAUUAGCCUCCUUACUUGUCUCUUCAUCCACCACUGGCAUCUUCUCUUGAUCGUCCA
Capsella rubella is the source of this 940-nucleotide long non-coding RNA. RefSeq lists it as uncharacterized. The transcript is spliced from 5 exons. Lineage: Eukaryota; Viridiplantae; Streptophyta; Magnoliopsida; Brassicales; Brassicaceae. The record is from RefSeq and is a predicted model, not a curated record.